Molecule: ribosomal RNA, 484 nt
Filed under: uncultured bacterium
Lineage: Bacteria
Description: partial 16S ribosomal RNA
Rfam family: Bacterial small subunit ribosomal RNA
Source: RNAcentral
AUUGAACGCUGGCGGCAGGCCUAACACAUGCCAGUCGAGCGGAUGAAGGGAGCUUGCUCCUGGAUUCAGCGGCGGACGGGUGAGUAAUGCCUAGGAAUCUGCCUGGCAGUGGGGGAUAACGUCCGGAAGCGGGCGCUAAUACCGCAUACGUCCUGAGGGAGAAAGUGGGGGAUCUUCGGACCUCACGCUAUCAGAUGAGCCUAGGUCGGAUUAGCUAGUUGGUGGGGUAAAGGCCUACCAAGGCGACGAUCCGUAACUGGUCUGAGAGGAUGAUCAGUCACACUGGAACUGAGACACGGUCCAGACUCCUACGGGAGGCAGCAGUGGGGAAUAUUGGACAAUGGGCGAAAGCCUGAUCCAGCCAUGCCGCGUGUGUGAAGAAGGUCUUCGGAUUGUAAAGCACUUUAAGUUGGGAGGAAGGGCAGUAAGUUAAUACCUUGCUGUUUUGACGUUACCAACAGAAUAAGCACCGGCUAACUUCGUG